Molecule: transfer RNA, 95 nt
Filed under: Thermaerobacter marianensis DSM 12885
Lineage: Bacteria; Bacillati; Bacillota; Clostridia; Eubacteriales; Clostridiales Family XVII. Incertae Sedis
Description: tRNA-Ser
Rfam family: tRNA
About the family: Transfer RNA (tRNA) molecules are approximately 80 nucleotides in length. Their secondary structure includes four short double-helical elements and three loops (D, anti-codon, and T loops). Further hydrogen bonds mediate the characteristic L-shaped molecular structure. tRNAs have two regions of fundamental functional importance: the anti-codon, which is responsible for specific mRNA codon recognition, and the 3' end, to which the tRNAs corresponding amino acid is attached (by aminoacyl-tRNA synthetases). tRNAs cope with the degeneracy of the genetic code in two manners: having more than one tRNA (with a specific anti-codon) for a particular amino acid; and 'wobble' base-pairing, i.e. permitting non-standard base-pairing at the 3rd anti-codon position.
Source: RNAcentral
GGAAGGGUGCCUGAGAGGUCGAAAGGAGCCGCCUGCUAAGCGGUUGAGGGGCCUUUAAAGCUCCUCCGAGGGUUCGAAUCCCUCCCCUUCCGCCG